CAGCUAGCAUCAACGACCCGUGAAACGUGUUUUCAACCUUUUGUGUCGGGGGGAGCAUUCGUGCCCCCUUUGAUGCCUAAACCAAAACCGGCGCAAGUCGCGCCAAGGAGCUCAAACGAAUAAGCUUGCCCCUUGCCCCGGUCUCGGUGUGCGGGGGGCAAAGCAUUCUUGUCGUAUUAUUCACUACGACUCUCGGCAACGGAUAUCUCGGCUCUCGCAUCGAUGAAGAACGUAGCGAAAUGCGAUACUUGGUGUGAAUUGCAGGAUCCCGCGAACCACCGAGUCUUUGAACGCAAGUUGCGCCCGGAGCCUUCUGGCCGAGGGCACGUCUGCCUGGGCGUCACGCAUCGCUGCCCCCACAUACAACACCCACUUAGGUCUGUUGCAUUGGCGGGGGCACAUGUUGGCCUCCCGUGCGCACUGUCGCACGGAUGGCUUAAAAUUGAGUCCUCGGCAUCUGUUGUCGUGACACUACGGUGGUUGAUUCAACCUCGGUACCGUGUCUCGAUCUCAGCUUGCGUGCCUCCUCUUUGUGAGUGAGGGAGGAAUCUUAUGUUGACCCUUUGAACAUUGUCCCCAAAGAUGAUGCUCUCGACGCGACCCCAGGUCAGGCGGGACUACCCGCUGAGUUUAAGCAUAUC
RNAcentral lists this ribosomal RNA (641 nucleotides) under Cucurbita environmental sample. RNAcentral describes it as "eukaryotic LSU rRNA". The stretch from base 188 to 343 matches the Rfam family "5.8S ribosomal RNA". The record is from RNAcentral. Lineage: Eukaryota; Viridiplantae; Streptophyta; Magnoliopsida; Cucurbitales.